RNAcentral lists this ribosomal RNA (557 nucleotides) under uncultured bacterium. RNAcentral's name for it is "bacterial SSU rRNA". It matches the Rfam family "Bacterial small subunit ribosomal RNA", at positions 335 to 910 of the family's 1533-position model. The record is from RNAcentral.
AUUCCUACGGGAGGCAGCAGUGGGGAAUUUUCCGCAAUGGGCGCAAGCCUGAUCCAGCCAUGCCGCGUGAGUGAUGAAGGCCUUAGGGUCGUAAAGCUCUUUCGCCAGGGAUGAUAAUGACAGUACCUGGUAAAGAAACCUCGGCUAACUCCGUGCCAGCAGCCGCGGUAAUACGGAGGGGGUUAGCGUUGUUCGGAAUUACUGGGCGUAAAGCGCGCGUAGGCGGAUCAGAAAGUUGGGGGUGAAAUCCCGGGGCUCAACCCCGGAACUGCCUCCAAAACUCCUGGUCUUGAGUUCGAGAGAGGUGAGUGGAAUUCCGAGUGUAGAGGUGAAAUUCGUAGAUAUUCGGAGGAACACCAGUGGCGAAGGCGGCUCACUGGCUCGAUACUGACGCUGAGGUGCGAAAGUGUGGGGAGCAAACAGGAUUAGAUACCCUGGUAGUCCACACCGUAAACGAUGAAUGCCAGUCGUCGGGUAGCAUGCUGCUCGGUGACACACCUAACGGAUUAAGCAUUCCGCCUGGGGAGUACGGUCGCAAGAUUAAAACUCAAAGGAAU